UGGGGAAUAUUGCACAAUGGGCGCAAGCCUGAUGCAGCCAUGCCGCGUGUAUGAAGAAGGCCUUCGGGUUGUAAAGUACUUUCAGCGGGGAGGAAGGCGAUAAGGUUAAUAACCUUGUCGAUUGACGUUACCCGCAGAAGAAGCACCGGCUAACUCCGUGCCAGCAGCCGCGGUAAUACGGAGGGUGCAAGCGUUAAUCGGAAUUACUGGGCGUAAAGCGCACGCAGGCGGUCUGUCAAGUCGGAUGUGAAAUCCCGGGGCUCAACCUGGGAACUGCAUUCGAAACUGGCAGGCUAGAGUCUUGUAGAGGGGGGUAGAAUUCCAGGUGUAGCGGUGAAAUGCGUAGAGAUCUGGAGGAAUACCGGUGGCGAAGGCGGCCCCCUGGACAAAGACUGACGCUCAGGUGCGAAAGCGUGGGGAGCAAACA
RNAcentral lists this ribosomal RNA (427 nucleotides) under uncultured bacterium. RNAcentral describes it as "partial 16S ribosomal RNA". It matches the Rfam family "Bacterial small subunit ribosomal RNA", at positions 355 to 774 of the family's 1533-position model. The record is from RNAcentral.